This 460-nucleotide ribosomal RNA is filed under the name uncultured bacterium. RNAcentral's name for it is "partial 16S ribosomal RNA". It matches the Rfam family "Bacterial small subunit ribosomal RNA", at positions 338 to 795 of the family's 1533-position model. The record is from RNAcentral.
CCUACGGGAGGCAGCAGUGAGGAAUAUUGGUCAAUGGGCGCGAGCCUGAACCAGCCAAGUAGCGUGAAGGAUGACUGCCCUACGGGUUGUAAACUUCUUUUAUAAAGGAAUAAAGUGAGGCACGUGUGACUCGGUGGAGGUACUUUAUGAAGAAGGAUCGGCUAACUACGUGCCAGGAGCCGCGGUAAUACGGAGGAUCCGAGCGUUAUCCGGAUUUAUUGGGUUUAAAGGGCGCGUAGAUGGGUUGUUAAGUCAGUUGUGAAAGUUUGCGGCUCAACCGUACAAUUGCAAUUGAUACUGGCGGUCUUGAGUACAGUUGAGGUAGGCGGAAUUCGUGGUGUAGCGGUGGAAUGCUUAGAUAUCACGAAGAACUCCGAUUGCGAAGGCAGCUUACUAAACUGCCACUGACAUUGAUGCUCGAAAGUGUGGGUAUCAAACAGGAUUAGAUACCCUUGUAGUC